AUUGAACGCUGGCGGAAUGCUUUACACAUGCAAGUCGAACGGCAGCACGGACUUCGGUCUGGUGGCGAGUGGCGAACGGGUGAGUAAUGUAUCGGAACGUGCCCAGUCGUGGGGGCUAACGUAGUGAAAAUUACGCUAAUACCGCAUACGAUCUAUGGAUGAAAGCGGGAGAUCGCAAGACCUCGCGCGAUUGGAGCGGCCGAUAUCAGAUUAGGUAGUUGGUGGGGUAAAGGCCCACCAAGCCAACGACCUGUAGCCGGUCUGAGAGGAGGACCAGCCACACUGGAACUGAGACACGGUCCAGACUCCUACGGGAGGCAGCAGUGGGGAAUUUUGGACAAUGGGCGAAAGCCUGAUCCAGCCAUUCCGCGUGCAGGAUGAAGGCCCUCGGGUUGUAAACUGCUUUUGUACAGAACGAAAAGGUUUCUACUAAUACUAGGAGCUCAUGACGGUACUGUAAGAAUAAGCACCGGCUAACUACGUGCCAGCCGCCACCGUAA
Molecule: ribosomal RNA, 500 nt
Filed under: uncultured bacterium
Lineage: Bacteria
Description: partial 16S ribosomal RNA
Rfam family: Bacterial small subunit ribosomal RNA
Source: RNAcentral